CCCUAUAGAAUUUUAUUAUUAAUUUGAUUAGUUUGAUUUUUGGUAAGUUUUAUUUGAUUAAUCUUUUAAUAAUUUUGUUGGGGUGACAGUGAUAAUUGAUUAACUUUCAUUUUUAUAUUUUCAUUUAUUUAUGUUUGUUUUGAUCCUGAAUUUUUGGAUUAUAAGAUUAAAUUACCUUAGGGAUAACAGCGUAAUUUUUUUGUAGAGUUCUUAUCGAUGAAAAAGAUUGCGACCUCGAUGUUGGAUUAAAGUAAGCUUUUGGUGUAGUAGUUAAAUGGCUAAGUCUGUUCGACUUUUAAAUCUUUACAUGAUCUGAGUUAAGGCCGGCGUGAGCCAGGUUGGUUUCUAUCUAUAAUUGUUAUUGAUUAUGUUUUAGUACGAAAGGACCGAAUGUAAAUAAUAAUUAUUUGUUUUUGGAUAAUAUUA
This 426-nucleotide ribosomal RNA is filed under the name Thasus neocalifornicus. RNAcentral describes it as "partial large subunit ribosomal RNA". The stretch from base 182 to 340 matches the Rfam family "Bacterial large subunit ribosomal RNA", at positions 2473 to 2632 of the family's 2925-position model. Lineage: Eukaryota; Metazoa; Arthropoda; Insecta; Hemiptera; Coreidae. The record is from RNAcentral.